This is a long non-coding RNA of Schistocerca piceifrons (Central American locust), 762 nucleotides long. RefSeq lists it as uncharacterized. NCBI's taxonomy places the organism in Eukaryota, Metazoa, Arthropoda, Insecta, Orthoptera, Acrididae. The transcript is spliced from 2 exons. The record is from RefSeq and is a predicted model, not a curated record.
GAGAUGAAAAUUAAUAAUGGAGGAAGACUGGAAUGUGAUUGUGUGGUACGGAAUAAUGAAAGGUUUACAGAGUAAUGUGGGCUUGGCAGUAGGAAUGAGAAAGGAGAAAGACUAAUUGAUAGGGACCGGAAAAAAUCGUUUAAACGAUAACGCGAAUUCGGCGGUUUUUAAGAAAGUAACGCAGAAUCAGUGAUUUUCAACAAAAUUUCUCUGUGUCUUCGUAAGAAGUCAGUGUAUGAUGUCAGUGCCAUAUUUAAUGUUGAAAUAUUCCAUGUUCAACUGUCGCACUACUUUUAGCAGUCGUGACGUCACUAGUGGCCUUUCAGCUAUCGACUUUUACGACCACGUACGAACGACCACUGUGUGAUUUUCGAUUAUUUCUUUCUUUUGUAGUGUAUGUGUCGCAGUCGGCAGUAUGCCGUUUCAGAGCAAUGGCGGCAUGAAAAUCUAUCAUAAAUACAUCAUCCUGCACAUUAAAUGCAGUUAAUAAUGCAGAAACGAUAUAAGGCUUGAAGAAAUGUGAUCAUUGAGACAGUAGCCGAUUGAGUAACCCAUAACGUAACGGAUAUGUUCGUGUUUUACGAUAUGAAUGGAUGAAUGUAAUGCAAGUAUUUGGAAGGAGGUGGGCGUUAACACUGCCAACACCGUCAUGAAUCAUUCAGCUUACGACUCUACCACAUUUUACAGUAAAAGUAAAGGAAAAAAUCCGAAAGUGUAAUACAAGUAUGUUCUGCAAUAAAUGAUGUUAAUAUUUCCAUCUGA